AAACCGUUCAGGGGUAAACCUAAGAAACCCAAAAGAACGAACGGGGAGAUUCAUCGUCAGCGACGCUGGCUUCGCGUCGGUGUGCGAUGCCCCGCGGGGCCCUCGCGGCUCGCGCGCGGGCACGCCGCCGUGCGCCGAUGUCCGGCGUUCGUAGUCGUGCACUUCUCCCCUAGUAGAACGUCGCGACCCGCUGGGUGUCGGUCUACGGCCCGGGUGCGGCGGCUGACGCGUCGCCGGUAAAACGGCACGCGUCAAACCCCCGGUCGCCCGGCCGGCUGCCCGGCGGUACGCGCAAGGUAUCAGGCCGCACGCUUCACAAACGAGACGAGUGCGUCGAGGCCGUCGCAAGCGCGCGCCACGGUACACGGAGGCAACGGACCUAGCGCCGUCACCGUGCCUGGCCCGCUGUUGGUCGUACGGUUAACCUUCGACAGGCCUGCCAACGUCCCAAUGGGAGUCUCGUGCUCCUGUGCGGGACCGAUACCGGUCGGCGACGCUACUGCUUUGGGUACUCUUAGGA
RNAcentral lists this ribosomal RNA (520 nucleotides) under Pogonomyrmex subdentatus. Its description in RNAcentral is "eukaryotic LSU rRNA". Lineage: Eukaryota; Metazoa; Arthropoda; Insecta; Hymenoptera; Formicidae. The record is from RNAcentral.